This 426-nucleotide ribosomal RNA is filed under the name uncultured bacterium. RNAcentral's name for it is "bacterial SSU rRNA". It matches the Rfam family "Bacterial small subunit ribosomal RNA", at positions 954 to 1378 of the family's 1533-position model. The record is from RNAcentral.
GCUAAACGCGAAGAACCUUACCUACCCUUGACAUGUCCGGAACCCUGGUGGGAGCCGGGGGUGCCCGAAAGGGAAUCGGAACACAGGUGCUGCAUGGCUGUCGUCAGCUCGUGUCGUGAGAUGUUGGGUUAAGUCCCGCAACGAGCGCAACCCUCAUCCUCUGUUGCUAACAGGUAAUGCUGAGAACUCUGAGGAAACUGCCGGUGAUAAGCCGGAGGAAGGUGGGGAUGACGUCAAGUCCUCAUGGCCCUUACACCCUGGGCUACACACGUGUUACAAUGGCAGUGACAAUGGGCCGCGAAGUCGCAAGAUGGAGCAAAUCCCCAAAAGCUGCCUCAGUUCAGAUUGUCCUCUGCAACUCGAGGGCAUGAAGUCGGAAUCGCUAGUAAUCGUAGAUCAGCAUGCUACGGUGAAUACGUUCCCGGG